This 462-nucleotide ribosomal RNA is filed under the name uncultured bacterium. RNAcentral describes it as "partial 16S ribosomal RNA". It matches the Rfam family "Bacterial small subunit ribosomal RNA", at positions 28 to 507 of the family's 1533-position model. The record is from RNAcentral.
GACGAACGCUGGCGGCGUGCUUAACACAUGCAAGUCGAGCGGAAAGGCCCUUCGGGGUACUCGAGCGGCGAACGGGUGAGUAACACGUGAGUAACCUGCCCCAGACUUUGGGAUAACCCUCGGAAACGGGGGCUAAUACCGGAUACGACACAGCUUCGCAUGGGGUCUGUGUGGAAAGUUUUUCGGUUUGGGAUGGGCUCGCGGCCUAUCAGCUUGUUGGUGGGGUGAUGGCCUACCAAGGCGACGACGGGUAGCCGGCCUGAGAGGGCGACCGGCCACACUGGGACUGAGACACGGCCCAGACUCCUACGAGAGGCAGCAGUGGGGAAUAUUGCACAAUGGGCGGAAGCCUGAUGCAGCGACGCCGCGUGAGGGAUGACGGCCUUCGGGUUGUAAACCUCUUUCAGCAGGGACGAAGCGUAAGUGACGGUACCUGCAGAAGAAGCGCCGGCCAACUACGUG